RNAcentral lists this ribosomal RNA (565 nucleotides) under Archaster angulatus. RNAcentral's name for it is "16S rRNA". It matches the Rfam family "Bacterial large subunit ribosomal RNA", at positions 1833 to 2583 of the family's 2925-position model. The record is from RNAcentral. Lineage: Eukaryota; Metazoa; Echinodermata; Asteroidea; Valvatida; Archasteridae.
GUUGUUUGAGGGAUAGGGGGUACUGCCUGCCCGGUGACUUUAGUUAAACGGCCGCGGUAUUUUGACCGUGCGAAGGUAGCAUAAUCAUUUGCCUUUUAAAUGGAGGCUGGUAUGAAUGGCAAGACGGGGGUCUGGCUGUCUUCAUUCUGCUAAUUUGAAGUUAAUUUUCUUGUGAAGAAGCAAGGAUAAAGCCGUGGGACGAGAAGACCCUGUCGAGCUUAAGCUAGUUCUGUGUAGUUUUUGUAGAUAGGGCUUACUUUUGCUAAUAUUGGCCUAAUGGGUUAAGUGAAUUUACUUUAGCUGGUUCUAGGUUUAUACAGACUGUUUGGGUUGGGGCAACCGCGGAGAACAAAUAUCCUCCGUUAAGAUAACUAGGGAAGAUGAUAGUCUUCUAGUACAGUGGUUUAAUAAUGAUCCGCCGGACGGGGCGAUUAAAAGAACAAGUUACCGCAGGGAUAACAGCGUAAUUUCUUUAGAGAGUUCGUAUUGAGAAAGGAGUUUGCGACCUCGAUGUUGGAUCGAGAUUUCCUGGGGGUGUAGCAGCUCCCAAAGGUUGGUCUGUUCG